UGGGCCACACACAGAAACAAACAAAACAAAAUUUGGUUCACCGACAAGGAAGAAGAAAACAAAAUUUGCCCCUUCGAAGAUGGGCUUUCUCACAAGAGAUAUAUGUGUAUAUAUAUAAUAUCUUCUCGAAGGAGUGCUUGUUGUCCUCUUCUUGCAUAACUGUCGGUCCUCUUCGUGCCGUAACGCUGUGAAAAUUUGGCAUCCAAAGCUCUGCUCUUGCAAAUCCUGGUGGGUUAGAAAAAGGGGAGCUCACUUGUGGAUUUGGAAGAUGGUGCGCGGACUCGCAAAAAAGUUCAAUUAGGUACUCCUGCUACUCGAUCGAUCUCAAUCUAUAGUUCCAGGUCACCGAUGAAAUAGAGGCUAAACUACCUUUGAUUAGAAUUGUCAUUUAUUUCUGAAAGAAUACUCAAGUAGGAGUCAAUAAACAUGUGUUGCAAUGUAUUCGAGACUCGACCAACAUGCAAAGAAAGGAAAGGAAGAUGGUUUGUACAUUAGUUGCGUAGCUUCUUUAGGAAAUCUGUGGGUAGUUAUUAUGGAUGCAAGGACAGGUUUUACAUCCAAAGUCCAUGAACUCUCACCCGUUUUCUUGCACAAGGAGUGGAUUUUGGAGCAGUGGGACAAGAAUUAUUACAUCACUUCACUUGCUGGUGCAUCAAAUGGCAGUGCCUUGGUGGUUUAUGUCCAAGGAUCGAAGCUCUCUUCUCCUUCCUACUUGGUGAUUAUGACUCUCUCUCUCUCUCUCGGUUCUAACUCUAGAUGAUGUGGUUAUUGUAGCCGAGAUUUACUCGUCGAUGAAGCUAUGAUCCAACAAAUCCAGAUCUCCAACCCAACACAUCCAUGUAAGUCUCUCAAUCUUCUUCUUCCUUUUCGAUUAGCCGUGUCCGAGAGAGAGGAGGCGAAUCCGACACAGAUCCCAUUCCCGCACCCGUGUCGUGUCGUGUCGACACUGGUACUUCGCCUCCAACUGCCGAGUCCAUGUAACACAGAUUUUAACAAUGUUAUGUUUCAGGAUAAUCUACUUCCUAAAAGAAAACUAGUCUCAUACCUAGAGAUGCCUCAACACAUUUUGAUGAAUUAAUUUAUGCAUGACCCAUGUUGCAAGCAUGUGUGGUAUAUCUUAUAGCGACCCCGGUCUUUUUCCCAUUUGAUUAUUGUAUCCGGACUUAGGUUCCGUAUAUUCUGUCAUUGUAUAAUUGUUGUUGUCGUCCUUUAUUUUCUCAUUUG
Non-coding RNA from Camellia sinensis, 1224 nucleotides. NCBI's taxonomy places the organism in Eukaryota, Viridiplantae, Streptophyta, Magnoliopsida, Ericales, Theaceae. The record is from RefSeq and is a predicted model, not a curated record.